This is a long non-coding RNA of Empidonax traillii (willow flycatcher), 1143 nucleotides long. RefSeq lists it as uncharacterized. The transcript is spliced from 3 exons. Lineage: Eukaryota; Metazoa; Chordata; Aves; Passeriformes; Tyrannidae. The record is from RefSeq and is a predicted model, not a curated record.
AACUGAAGCAGGUCUGCUCAUGGGUCACUUCUGCAUGCAUGGAAGCCUUCCAGCUAUAAAAGCAAAAUUUCUGACCCCCAUGCAACACUCCUGCCUCCCAAAGACUUUGGGGCUGGUUGAACUGGGUUUCCAAACUUUAUUUGCUCAGGUACAUGCAGUGGCAACAGCUGCAGCUUCAGGCUGUGUGAUCAGUAAAGGCAGGAGGGCUGGGCUUUCCCUUCUGUCUGCAGUUGGAUACACCCACCCACAGCAGCUCCCAGCUCUGUCCCCACCACAGGUAACCUAGUCCACUCUGACAUGUUUUCUGUGGUGAUGCAUGCUUCCAGUACAAAAACAAUAUAACACACCUCAUGUCUAAGAAAAUUGUAAGGAAGUGGGGACUGAGUCCCCAUGGUCUUUUAAUGCAUUUACUUGUAAGUAGAAUGAGGAUUCGUUUUAUAGGGGUAGAGAGGUAAGGAACAACUGGUGCUCUGGGACCACAGAGGAGAAAACACAAAUUUUUCUGUAUUGGGAUACCAUAUAGCUGCAGAUUGAUGAGAUCACCCUGAAAUCAAGGUGCUUUUCACAUAAGCUGGUUAGGAUUCAGCUCUACCAUCAUCUUGGAUUCCCUAAUUCACAUUCAAGAAAAUGCUCUCUAAGACAUAAACUUGGUUAGCAAAGUAAAGGUUACAGUCUAAUCAGCUGCUGUUAGCGCUGUUAAUCUUCGAGACAAGAACAGCCUCAUGUCUGCACUCAGCUGAUCACUAAAAGUGUUCCCAGAGUCUGUACACUAUGUCAUCAUGAUUGUUAUUGUUGUUAGCAGCAGCAGCACAUUACCUAGUAACCAGGACCCAGUCCCACCAUGAUCUGUAAUUUUCAGGCUUACCCUUGGGGCUGAAAGGAUUCUACCUGCACCUGCUGAUCCUUUUUCAUUUGCUCACAAGCUCUCAGGUUUGAGAGUGGGAGAGCACCCAGGGUCUAGAGCUGAGUGAAGUGCAGCUGGAAUGUGUUGGCAUGUGCUGAAGGAUAAAGGAGGGAUGACAAACCACCAGGCCAGUCUUAGCAAACUAUGGUUUAGUCAUCUCCCCUCUUUCCCUGGUGAUGUGGAUGAAAACUGGACGUGCAAAAGUUUACCUGCCCAGAAAAAGUCCUGCACAAACCAGC